GUUCGCGUCACUUCUUCCCGCGCUGUGGACUCUUAUGGACUGACAUUUGGCGUCGUCCAUGAGAACAGCAAGGGAAAUCCGUCGGCGGUUCUGGAUGGACAUUAGGUGCAGCCGACCUGUGACCCAAUGUCGCAAGAGAACUACCCCAGACCGACAGGACUGUCUUACUGUAAGUGGACAGAACCCUGGUCAGAUAUAUCUAGGAAGGUGGUCUGAGCUCUAGUUGGGUGAUUUGGCGUCUGGGGUAUCUGAAACUGGAUAGAUUUAUGACAUUUCAGCUGCAUAAUUCACUCCUUUAACAAAGUUUUUAACCCUGGCGAACACCUUUAUUGAGGUACAAGGACCUUUAUGGUAACAUGUGGGGAUCCGAUAUCAUGUACCCCUCCGUGAUAGUCCUGAGGGGAACAUCUAAUCAUACUGAGUCAAGUGCUUCAUAUUGGUCGUUUCCGAGCUGGGGUUAAAUUCUAUUGUGACUGGAUGGAUGAGUGCAGCUGAACUAGAAUAAAUCUAUUUUUGCAACAGUACCUCUUGCGUCGGAAAGUCUGACUAGGGUAAAGGUCAUCUGGUCCAGAAUAUCUGACUGACGGACUAUCACGGCCUGCCAGUCGCCGGAGGAGGAGGAGGCGCCGACCAUGGCGCAGAGAUCGUCGCCCUUCCCGAUCUCCCCCGGAGGAGGCGCCGUCCAAGGCGCAGAGAUCGUCGCCCUUCCCGAUCUCUCCCGGAGGAGGCGCCGUCCAAGGCGCAGAGAUCGUCGCCCUUCCCGAUCUCUCCCGGAGGUGGCGCCGUCCAAGGCGCAGAGAUCGACGCCUUCACCCCGAUCUCUUUUCAUAUGCCCCCGGUCCAUAGGAGGACACGGGGGACGUGCCUGGAGGUGGCACUGAGACACUGCCAUGUUUCGUUCGGUUUGACUUUCUUCACACUGAGCCACAGUGUGGAGGCAGUCAAAAGGGCCAUGCUAAGGGGCCAAGGGUGUGACAUAGUGGCAGGUCUAUGUCGCCGUAGAGCGGGGAAAUUCCGUUAGGCAAGUACGAUGUUGGGUUCCACGACUUUAAUGGACUCAUCUGAAGUAUGAGUGCCUUUUCCUGAAGGAGAUUGUCUAACGUCUCGGACAGUCACCUGGUCAGGGUUUUCAGAUGCGUGGAGUCUAACUCUAGAUGGAUGACUUAGCAAUGGAAAUAUUUGGAACUCAGUUGGUUUAGUCAUUUCUCAACUUUGAACUGUCCCUUCUUUGACAAUGCAUUUAAUUCCAAAUACAGACAUGAAUCUGACACGAGUAUGGCUUUACAGCAUCAUGAUUGGAACGUCAGGCCUGUGCGGUCGGGCUUGAUGGACCAAUGGACCGCCAUGUGUGUUGUACUGCUCUGUAAAUCUUGUGCUGGAGGAUUGUUUGUGUCUGGACUUCUAUACAUUGUGAAAGAAUUGACAAAACUAGUUGGGACAUGACUAAAUCUUCUUGAGGCUUCAUCUAUCUUCUUUGCUGGGAAGUCUGUCUCUUGUCAAGAUGACACAAGUUUGAAAAAUCCUGACCUCAGGACGGAAAGUUUGCCCCAUAAAAAAAAAA
Molecule: long non-coding RNA, 1561 nt
Filed under: Mizuhopecten yessoensis (Yesso scallop)
Lineage: Eukaryota; Metazoa; Mollusca; Bivalvia; Pectinida; Pectinidae
Description: uncharacterized LOC110459206
Source: RNAcentral